CCAUAGCUCAACUGGAUAGAGCAUUUGACUACGGAUCAAAAGGUUGGGGGUUCGAAUCCCUUUGG
Molecule: transfer RNA, 65 nt
Filed under: human gut metagenome
Also listed under: 1 other name
Rfam family: tRNA
About the family: Transfer RNA (tRNA) molecules are approximately 80 nucleotides in length. Their secondary structure includes four short double-helical elements and three loops (D, anti-codon, and T loops).
Source: RNAcentral